This is a long non-coding RNA of Lontra canadensis (Northern American river otter), 312 nucleotides long. RefSeq lists it as uncharacterized. Lineage: Eukaryota; Metazoa; Chordata; Mammalia; Carnivora; Mustelidae. The record is from RefSeq and is a predicted model, not a curated record. The transcript is spliced from 3 exons.
AGCAACUCCGGCUCCCAAACCAGAAUGCCAGAGUAUUAACUUACAAUGAGAAUGACUGCGGCGGAGGGCAGAGGUUAUAAAAAAGGAAACUAUUCUUUGGGACACACUCAAAUGAUGCAAGAGGAGUACAAAGAAAGUGAAAGUCACCUGCUCUCCUGCUCAUCAGACGUGACUGUGUUGGCUAGUGUCCUUCCUGGCACAUCCGGUCACGGGCGACCUUACUAACUUCCCUGUACUCCAUCUGACAAAUCCUGUAUGUGCCUCAAAAUCCAACCCAGGCGUCCGGCCCCUUUGUGAUGUCUCCUUGACACC